Molecule: long non-coding RNA, 990 nt
Filed under: Equus caballus (horse)
Lineage: Eukaryota; Metazoa; Chordata; Mammalia; Perissodactyla; Equidae
Description: lncRNA (ENSECAG00000034443.3)
Source: RNAcentral
UUCAAAACUAAUCUGGAUCCUCCUCCACCUCAUUGUUUGUAUGUGCCCUUCUUGCUACUUAUUACCAAGGGCAGUGUUGUCCUUACACUUGGCUUUGGGGCACUGUCCUUGGGAUCAGGACGUGAUUUCUGUGGAGGAGUUCGAUUCCCUCCAGAGGCUGCUGCUUGCUUCGCUUACUUAGAUGAUUGCGUGGGGCUGCUCCCUUCUGCCUCCACCCUGAGCCCUCAUCUUGUAUCUGUGUGCACCUGAGUGAUCCUGUUCCCUCUGACCCCGUCAGCUUGAUGAGGAGCGUAGGUAAUGUGAGGGGCAUGUGACAGCCCUUUUGUCAAGAAGACUCACUUCCUGCCUCAAGUCUGAGCUGAAAGUGGACCACAGACUCAGUCAACAAAAGAUGCAGGGCUUACUUGACUAUAACCUACAGAAGAUGGUUUCUCCGGUUAAAGGCAUAUGGACUCAACAUGUCACCGGAAGGAAAACACCAGCUGGUCUUACAGCUCUUGAACGGGCAGCUCACCCAGAGACACCACGCUGCAGGGCUUCUCUGCACCAACGUUCUUUCAGGGCCUGUGGAGAAAAUAUGGACGUUAGCAGUCAGAAAACAUGCUCGGGACACAGCAUUCGUGGCCGAGCUUCCCACAGCAGUGUGUAUGAACACCGCAGCUCCUCAUGGAACAAUUCUGUCCUCACCAAGCAACAUGAGACAACAAGGAAACACUUUCUGCCCCAGAAAUGUCCUUCCAUCACUUCCAGUUAAAAAUCACAUUUCUCCAAGAUUCUACCCACUCCCAUACACCUCAGCCUGGCUAAGGAAAUGAUUGGAAACUUAAAUCUGAGAGAAAAAGCUGACAUUUUACGAUAACGGGGAAAAGUUAUCCUCAAAUACUGCCUGUGGUAUUAAAAAUGGAAUUCAGAUAAGCUUCUUUGGGCCGCUCUGAUAGACUGGUUUCAUUUUGCUGGAAGAAAUCCUGGGAAUACACCCUCACUCUCAUC